AGCUCGGUAGCUUAGUUGCUAAAGCACUUGUCUAGCGAAUAAGGGUCGUGAGUUCAAAUCUCACCUGAGCUG
Aedes albopictus (Asian tiger mosquito) is the source of this 72-nucleotide non-coding RNA. NCBI's taxonomy places the organism in Eukaryota, Metazoa, Arthropoda, Insecta, Diptera, Culicidae. The record is from Rfam.